UUGCGGACAGUGUCUGGUGGGUAGUUUGACUGGGGCGGUCUCCUCCUAAAGAGUAACGGAGGAGCACGAAGGUUGGCUAAUCCUGGUCGGACAUCAGGAGGUUAGUGCAAUGGCAUAAGCCAGCUUGACUGCGAGCGUGACGGCGCGAGCAGGUGCGAAAGCAGGUCAUAGUGAUCCGGUGGUUCUGAAUGGAAGGGCCAUCGCUCAACGGAUAAAAGGUACUCCGGGGAUAACAGGCUGAUACCGCCCAAGAGUUCAUAUCGACGGCGGUGUUUGGCACCUCGAUGUCGGCUCAUCACAUCCUGGGGCUGAAGUAGGUCCCAAGGGUAUGGCUGUUCGCCAUUUAAAGUGGUACGCGAGCUGGGUUUAGAACGUCGUGAGACAGUUCGGUCCCUAUCUGCCGUGGGCGCUGGAGAACUGAGGGGGGCUGCUCCUAGUACGAGAGGACCGGAGUGGACGCAUCACUGGUGUUCGGGUUGUCAUGCCAAUGGCACUGCCCGGUAGCUAAAUGCGGAAGAGA
Molecule: ribosomal RNA, 520 nt
Filed under: Salmonella enterica
Lineage: Bacteria; Pseudomonadati; Pseudomonadota; Gammaproteobacteria; Enterobacterales; Enterobacteriaceae
Description: partial 23S ribosomal RNA
Rfam family: Bacterial large subunit ribosomal RNA
Source: RNAcentral